Molecule: ribosomal RNA, 493 nt
Filed under: uncultured bacterium
Lineage: Bacteria
Description: partial 16S ribosomal RNA
Rfam family: Bacterial small subunit ribosomal RNA
Source: RNAcentral
AUUGAACGCUGGCGGCAUGCCUUACACAUGCAAGUCGAACGGUAACAGGUUAAGCUGACGAGUGGCGAACGGGUGAAUAAUAUAUCGGAACGUGCCCCGUCGUGGGGGAUAACGUAGCGAAAGCUACGCUAAUACCGCAUACGAUCUACGGAUGAAAGCGGGGGAUCGCAAGACCUCGCGCGAUUGGAGCGGCCGAUAUCAGAUUAGGUUGUUGGUGAGGUAAAAGCUCACCAAGCCUGCGAUCUGUAGCUGGUCUGAGAGGACGACCAGCCACACUGGAACUGAGACACGGUCCAGACUCCUAUGGGAGGCAGCAGUGGGGAAUUUUGGACAAUGGACGCAAGUCUGAUCCAGCAAUGCCGCGUGCAGGACGAAGGCCUUCGGGUUGUAAACUGCUUUUGUACGGAACGAAACGGUGAGCUCUAAUACAGUUUGCUAAUGACGGUACCGUAAGAAUAAGCACCGGCUAACUACGUGCCAGCCGCCGCAGUAA